UGAAGGCAAUCAUGUCGAGGAUAUUGUCAUGACAUCUGCCAUGAAAAAGCCAGCCUCAAAAAGUGGAACAAUUGCCGAGCUUAAGGAGACUUGCAAAGAGCUGGGUGAAGGGAUAAGGAUAGCAACAGCUAGGAAACAAUCGUUGGAAGCCUUGAUUGCAAGUUUGGAGCAGGCUGAAGGUGAAAAUAUUGAACAUGCUAAGGAAGCUGAAGCCCACACCUCUAGUGAGAGGUCUGCAAACA
RNAcentral lists this long non-coding RNA (242 nucleotides) under Lathyrus oleraceus (garden pea). Its description in RNAcentral is "Pisum sativum (pea) long non-coding RNA (PSAT_LNC024718)". The record is from RNAcentral. Lineage: Eukaryota; Viridiplantae; Streptophyta; Magnoliopsida; Fabales; Fabaceae.